RNAcentral lists this non-coding RNA (29 nucleotides) under Mus musculus (house mouse). The record is from RNAcentral. Lineage: Eukaryota; Metazoa; Chordata; Mammalia; Rodentia; Muridae.
UGACAAUAGUGUGUAUAGGAUGUAUAGAC